UCUACGGGUGGCAGCAGUGGGGGAUAUUGCACAAUGGGGGAAACCCUGAUGCAGCGACGCCGCGUGGGCGAAGAAGUAUUUCGGUAUGUAAAGCCCUAUCAGCAGGGAAGAAGAAAUGACGGUACCUGAGUAAGAAGCACCGGCUAAAUACGUGCCAGCAGCCGCGGUAAUACGUAUGGUGCAAGCGUUAUCCGGAUUUACUGGGUGUAAAGGGAGCGUAGGCGGUUUAGCAAGUCAGAAGUGAAAGCCCGGGGCUCAACUCCGGGACUGCUUUUGAAACUGUUGAACUAGAUUGCAGGAGAGGUAAGUGGAAUUCCUAGUGUAGCGGUGAAAUGCGUAGAUAUUAGGAGGAACACCAGUGGCGAAGGCGGCUUACUGGACUGUAAAUGACGCUGAGGCUCGAAAGCGUGGGGAGCAAACAGGAUUAGAUACCCCAGUAGUC
RNAcentral lists this ribosomal RNA (442 nucleotides) under uncultured bacterium. RNAcentral's name for it is "partial 16S ribosomal RNA". It matches the Rfam family "Bacterial small subunit ribosomal RNA", at positions 338 to 795 of the family's 1533-position model. The record is from RNAcentral.